UCACUCAUGACUUUAAUCUGUGGAAGCAGAUUAUUAACUGCAGUUUGUUUCUGUUGCAGACCGGAGAGACGAACACAAAGAUGAACCGUAUGUCCUGGAUGACGCUGGUGUUCCUGCUGUCGGCUGGAAGCAGUUUCUCUUGGGAUGUGAACGAGCUGACUGGUAUUGUAACUGCCAUCAGGGAAGAGUGAGUACAGAAUAAAGAACCAGUUCUGUCUGGCUGCAAACAUCCCACUGAACCGCCAAAACACAAACACCCUUUCUAAUGUCCUUCAAGAUGACCACUACGACAACAAUAUGAAACAAACGCUUAAAGAGAAAGAGGUGUACGAGGGCACAAAUGUGGUUAUAGCCACACAUGUAGAACCUGAACAUGCAGAACAUCGAGUUCUGACAAAAUUGCAAAACUUGAUCAUAAAUAGUCAGAGAAACCGCCUGCUCAUCUACUCUUACCUCUCCCCAUGUGUAGGCAAGUGUACAGACCGAAGCAAAAAGUACAACAUCCUUAGAGACAUUGAACGUAAUGUCAUUCCAAAAUGGCCUGAUCGCGUGGCCUUUGUGUUUACAACAGUCUGUGA
Sander lucioperca (pikeperch) is the source of this 578-nucleotide long non-coding RNA. RefSeq lists it as uncharacterized. Lineage: Eukaryota; Metazoa; Chordata; Actinopteri; Perciformes; Percidae. The transcript is spliced from 3 exons. The record is from RefSeq and is a predicted model, not a curated record.